Molecule: RNA transcript, 1786 nt
Organism: Capsicum annuum
Lineage: Eukaryota; Viridiplantae; Streptophyta; Magnoliopsida; Solanales; Solanaceae
Gene name: dnaJ homolog subfamily C member 17
Exons: 5
Source: RefSeq, a predicted model, not a curated record
UUUUGCUGUACCAAAGUUAGCGUAAGGAUCCGACCACAAAUGUACCAAAUCUUGUCUUGCAAAUGAAAUUCGACAUAAACCCAAAACCCAAUCCAUUUCAAACAAGCUUUUAAGGUAAUUUAUUUUUUUACGUCAUAUUUUCUAAUACCCAAUAAAUUCCCCAAUUGUUCUAUUUCACCUCCGGCGGAUCUCUAACUAGACGCUACCACUUCUCGGUGUCUCCGUAUCGCCGAAUUUCUCCUGACUACUGCUGGUUUGAAUUAAUUGCAUAGUUCAAAGUCCAGGUUAGAAAAUGGAUAUUGAAGUUGAUCAUUAUGCUGUUUUGGAUUUACCCUCUGGUGAGGAAGGGGCCAAACUUUCUGAGAAAGACAUAUCUAAAGCCUAUAAGAAGAAAGCAUUAGAGUUGCAUCCAGACAAGAGGCGCGACGACCCAAAUGCUCACUUGAACUUUCAAAAUCUGAAGACUUCAUACGAGAUUCUCAAGGAUGAGAAAGCGAGGAAGCUAUUUGAUGAUCUACUUCGUGUGAAACGUGAGAAGAUCCGGCGGCAAUCUCAGCAAGAUUUAAAACGUAGAAAGAUGAUGUCAGAUCUUGAUGCAAGAGAGCGUGCUGCUUUUUCACCUGAUGCCAGCGUUCUAGAUCGAGAAGAGGAGGAACUGAUUGCUAGGAAACUUAAGGAAGAAAUUGCUAGAAUUCGUGCAAGGCAUUCAAAGAAAGUGUCUACUCCUAUAGAUCCUUCACAGAAAGAGGCACAUGCAAGGGCUAAUGAGAGUGCAGAAGGCAAGGGGAGUAGUGUAGACAGGGAAAAGAUGCUUAAGGUAUCUUGGGAGAAGAUUGGUGAAGAUUAUACUGCCCAAAGACUGAGAGAUUUGUUUAGUGAGUUUGGUGAGGUUGAAGAUGUAGUAAUCAAGAGUUCUAAGAAGAAAGGCUCCGCUCUUGUUGUCAUGUCAUCUAAGGAUGCAGCUAAAGCUUCUUGUGGAAAGAUCUUGGGGGAUCUAUCAAAUCCUCUCUUAGUUGUGCCCCUCCAACCUCUAACUCCAUCUCCAUUUUCUAGCGCUGAGAAAAAUGGAGAAUCUGAGGACCCAAUUUUGAGUAAUCUUGUAGGUGCUGGAUACCAGAAAUUUGAAGACUCAGUAUUAGAAAAAAUGAGAAAGUACCACUGGAUAUUGUUAUCGGAGAGAUGAAUUGAUUUCUUUCGGAAAAAAGAAUGUGCGUUGCUAGUAUGUUUGGGAGGGUCUAGAAGUGCGUGAAUGGAGUGAAACACAAUCAAAUCAGCGAGAUGCCUCAAUUGGGUUUCAGUUUCACAUGUAUACCUAAUUUUGAUAUCAGGCAGCUCAAAGGAAGAAAUAGCAUGCAGAAGCUUCAUCAAGUUCAAGUGUUUAGAUGAUGAGAUCUCUAGUUUACCACGGAUAAAAAAGUAAGAAUGUAAUAGUAAUUUUCUCUUCUUCUUCAUAUAUUCCUUGUAUAUUUUACGCAGAAUGGGGGUGUCAUUCUAGUUCCGACGGAUAGUUAUUGUAAUCAUUUAAGGCUGAUUUCCAGCAAGAUAAAUUUCCUUUUUACCGGUUUCUCUGAAACAGGUUUGUUUUUUGACAUGUACUCCAUCGAGAAUGUAUAAUGAGAAUCCCAUUCUUCUGUCACAAGAUUGGGAAGAGGAGAGAUUUAUCUUCAUUGUGCUAUGCCUGGUAUUCUGGACAUGGUAUUUGCAGUAGGAAUCACAAAAAUGUAUUGUAUAUUAAUGUCACUUGAGAUUUUUUUAAUGUGUUUUGCAGUGUUCUGUAUUUGGAUCA